Long non-coding RNA from Sorex araneus (European shrew), 220 nucleotides. RefSeq lists it as uncharacterized. The transcript has 3 exons. The record is from RefSeq and is a predicted model, not a curated record. NCBI's taxonomy places the organism in Eukaryota, Metazoa, Chordata, Mammalia, Eulipotyphla, Soricidae.
ACAGGGGUUUCUGGGGUGAAGCCUGUGGUGAUCUCCUGGCUUGAAGGAGGAGCCCUGAGGCUGGGGAGAAGAGGCAUGUGUGCAGAAAGGAAAUCACAGCUUCAGGUGUUUUCACUGCAACAUUUUUAUUUGGGAAUUGAGUCACCAUAAACGAGGGAGUUGGGAAGCAGCCAGCCCCAGUGGAAUGUAUCUGAUCCUACACUCUAUGAUAAUGUCUCAG